UCCCCAAAUUAUUUACAAAAAAGAAUUAAUUUGGUAAAAUAGUAUUAAUAUAAAUAUAAACAAACGUACGAAAAUUGUAAAAAUGUUGUAAAGUAAUUACUCACUUAAUCUGAUUUGGUUCGGUCACGUAGUCAAGCAUUCACUCCCAAUCCCUUACUUAAAAGCGAAAUUACAACCGCAGAAGAGUCCAUUCUGCACCGGCAAGGCAACGAAUCCAAUUGGAAGAAGG
Molecule: unclassified non-coding RNA, 229 nt
Filed under: Hevea brasiliensis (rubber tree)
Lineage: Eukaryota; Viridiplantae; Streptophyta; Magnoliopsida; Malpighiales; Euphorbiaceae
Source: RNAcentral